UUGUUUUGUAUCAUAUUAUUGAUUUAUACCUAAACAUUUUUUUUUAAACCAACACCUUUUUACGAAGAGAGUAAUUCAUAGACGGUCCCUAAAUUCGAUCUGUCGAAUAUCCAACGUCCAACGUGAAACCAACUUCACCGCGGUUUAACAUUGAUGCUUUGACUCUUGGGAAACCUGCUGCGCAACUGCGGUGUUUAAUGAAAUGUUUGUAGUCGCAACCAAUAAUCCAAGAUUGGACUCGGGUAAAGGGACAUGUUGAUUAGGACGUGCAAGCUUUUGAGAGAGGAACAACUACUUCCCUGACGUGGAGUUACUAUAUAAAACCUCUUGGAACAGCUUGGAAACUUUCAGAACAAUCUGCAAUAAGUUGACUACAUUUUUAAUCCAGUUUCUGCGCCACUCCGUCCCCCUCAAACAUGUCCACCUCUCCUGCUGCCCCUCAGCCUAGAAGCAUGGACUACGACCUGCCUACAUGUGGAGAGAAUCGGUGCCAUGGUCAUGGGACAUGCGUGUCUCCCCAAGGGGGUGGCACAGGGCUGGUGUGUGAGUGCAUACUGGGAUACCGGGGAGAGUUCUGUAAAGACACAGUGAAUGGGGCGCUCAGUGUGCCGCUCACUCUCGGUGUGAUUGCGACCCUCCUUGGCGUGUUCAUUCUGGCUUUCGUCGCCGCCAAGAUAAGGCAAAGGCAGAAGGAAAAUCGCAGAUUAACAAGGACAUCUUCUAUUCCAGUGGUUCCCAAAGUGGGGUGUGGGGCCCCCUGGGGGGCUCAGAGGUACUACAAGGAGGCCCCAAAGCUUCUCUAA
Neogobius melanostomus (round goby) is the source of this 803-nucleotide long non-coding RNA. The record is from Ensembl. NCBI's taxonomy places the organism in Eukaryota, Metazoa, Chordata, Actinopteri, Gobiiformes, Gobiidae.